GUGCUUGCUUUGGCAGCACAUAUACUAAAAUUGGAAUGAUACAGAGAAGAUUAGCAUGGCCCCUACGCAAGAAAAAGUUGAGGAAGAAAUUGGUGUAAAUAAAUAAA
Small nuclear RNA from Perognathus longimembris pacificus (Pacific pocket mouse), 107 nucleotides. NCBI's taxonomy places the organism in Eukaryota, Metazoa, Chordata, Mammalia, Rodentia, Heteromyidae. The record is from RefSeq and is a predicted model, not a curated record.